UUUUUUUUUGCCGUACAAGAAACCUAAUGGAACCGCAAACAUUUUCACUUUUGUAUUGUAUUGAGAGAAAAACACUUCAUUGACUC
This is a non-coding RNA of Caenorhabditis elegans, 86 nucleotides long. NCBI's taxonomy places the organism in Eukaryota, Metazoa, Nematoda, Chromadorea, Rhabditida, Rhabditidae. The record is from Ensembl.